RNAcentral lists this ribosomal RNA (423 nucleotides) under uncultured bacterium. RNAcentral's name for it is "partial 16S ribosomal RNA". It matches the Rfam family "Bacterial small subunit ribosomal RNA", at positions 359 to 775 of the family's 1533-position model. The record is from RNAcentral.
AGUAUUGGACACUGGGGGCAACCCUCAUCCAGCCAUGCCGCGCGUGUGAAGAAGGGCCUCGGCUUGUAUAGCACUCUAAGUUGGGAGGCAGGGCUUUAGGCUAAUACCCUGAAGAUUAGACGUUACCAACAGAAUAAGCACCGCCUAACUAUGUGCGAGCCGCCGCGGUAAUACAGAGGGUGCAAGCGUUAGUCGGAAUUACUGGGCGUAAAGCGCGCGUAGGUGGUUCAGUAAGAUGGGUGUGAAAUCCCCGGGCUUAACCUGGGAACUGCUUUCAUAACUGUUGAGCUAGAGUACGGUAGAGGGUAGGGGAAUUUCCUGUGUAGCGGUGAAAUGCGUAGAUAUAGGAAGGAACACCAGUGGCGAAAGCGACUACCUGGACUGAUACUGACACUGAGGUGCGAAAGCGUGGGGAGCAAACAG